UGGAANGAUGGGAAUUUAAACCUCUUCCAGAGUAUCAAUUGGAGGGCAAGUCUGGUGCCAGCAGCCGCGGUAAUUCCAGCUCCAAUAGCGUAUAUUAAAAUUGUUGCAGUUAAAAAGCUCGUAGUUGAAUUUCUGCUGCAUUGCUUGUGUCCCUCUGGGGUCUGUGCAUGUGGCUUUUUUCGGACGGAGUUUCUUUGUCUGAAUGUUUACUUUGAGAAAAUUAGAGUGCUCAAAGCAGGCUUUCGCCUUGAAUAGUUUAGCAUGGAAUAAUAAAGUAGGACUUUGGUUCUAUUUUGUUGGUUUUAGGUACCAAAGUAAUGGUUAAUAGGAACAGUUGGGGGCAUUCGUAUUUAACUGUCAGAGGUGAAAUUCUUAGA
This 377-nucleotide ribosomal RNA is filed under the name Theileria annulata. Its description in RNAcentral is "SSU rRNA". It matches the Rfam family "Eukaryotic small subunit ribosomal RNA", at positions 510 to 924 of the family's 1831-position model. Lineage: Eukaryota; Apicomplexa; Aconoidasida; Piroplasmida; Theileriidae. The record is from RNAcentral.